CAUCCUAUAGUAUAAUUUUGAUAGUACAUUAAAUUGCAGCUUUAAAAGAAUAUAUAAUAGUAUUGGGGUU
Molecule: transfer RNA, 70 nt
Filed under: Geloina coaxans
Lineage: Eukaryota; Metazoa; Mollusca; Bivalvia; Venerida; Cyrenidae
Description: tRNA-Cys
Source: RNAcentral